Molecule: ribosomal RNA, 1140 nt
Filed under: Acrostalagmus luteoalbus
Lineage: Eukaryota; Fungi; Ascomycota; Sordariomycetes; Glomerellales; Plectosphaerellaceae
Description: eukaryotic LSU rRNA
Rfam family: Eukaryotic large subunit ribosomal RNA (bases 524-1140)
Source: RNAcentral
AACAAGGUCUCCGUUGGUGAACCAGCGGAGGGAUCAUUACCGAGUCUUUACAACUCAUAACCCUUUGUGAACCAUUAUACCUAGUUGCUUCGGCGGCGCGCCUCCGGGCGUGCCCGCCGGCCAAUUAUAGUCUCUUAGUUGUGAAUCGACGUUACAUCUGAGUGUUCUAAGCGAACUGUUAAAACUUUCAACAACGGAUCUCUUGGCUCCAGCAUCGAUGAAGAACGCAGCGAAACGCGAUAUGUAUUGUGAAUUGCAGAAUUCAGUGAAUCAUCGAAUCUUUGAACGCACAUUGCGCCUUCCAGUAUCCUGGGAGGCAUGCCUGUCCGAGCGUCGUUUCAACCCUCGAGCCCCCGUGGCCCGGUGUUGGGGACGCUGCCCAGCUACCUGGGCAGCCCCCCUAAAUGCAGUGGCGGUCCCGCAAGUCCCAGCCCUUUGCGUAGUAAUAUCAUUCUCGCUCUGGACGGCUCGCGGGCUUACCAGCCUCGAAACCCCCUACAAAGACCGCCCCGGCGGCAACGGUUGACCUCGGAUCAGGUAGGAAUACCCGCUGAACUUAAGCAUAUCAAUAAGCGGAGGAAAAGAAACCAACAGGGAUUGCCUCAGUAACGGCGAGUGAAGCGGCAACAGCUCAAAUUUGAAAUCUGGCUCUUUCAGGGUCCGAAUUGUAAUUUGCAGAGGAUGCUUUGGGUGCGGGCGCCUUCCGAGUUCCCUGGAACGGGACGCCAUAGAGGGUGAGAGCCCCGUCUGGUAGGAUGCCCAGCCCGUGUAAAGCUCCCUCGACGAGUCGAGUAGUUUGGGAAUGCUGCUCUAAGGGGAGGUAUACUCCUUCCAAAGCUAAAUACCGGCUGGAGACCGAUAGCGCACAAGUAGAGUGAUCGAAAGAUGAAAAGCACUUUGAAAAGAGAGUCAAAUAGCACGUGAAAUUGUUGAAAGGGAAGCGCUCGCUACCAGACUUGGGUACGCGGUUCCGUAGGUGCUCCGCACCUGCGUACUCCUCGUGCCCAGGCCAGCAUCAGUUCUUCGUCGGGUUAAAAGGCUUCGGGAAUGUGGCUCGCCUCGGUGAGUGUUAUAGCCCGUUGUGUCAUGCCCGGUGGGGGACUGAGGUACGCGCUCCGCAAGGAUGCUGGCGUAAUGGUA